Molecule: long non-coding RNA, 207 nt
Filed under: Mytilus galloprovincialis (Mediterranean mussel)
Lineage: Eukaryota; Metazoa; Mollusca; Bivalvia; Mytilida; Mytilidae
Source: RNAcentral
UUCCCUUGAACUGAAUUUUAAUGUGCGUAUUGUUAUGCGUUUACUUUUCUGCAUUGGCUAGAGGUAUAGGGGAGGGUUGAGAUCUCACCAACAUGUUUAACCCCGCCGCAUUUUUGCGCCUGUCCCAAGUCAGGAGCCUCUGGCCUUUGUUAGUCUUGUAUCAUUUUAACUUUUAGUUUCUUGUGUACAAUUUGGAGUUUAGUAUGG